RNAcentral lists this transfer RNA (65 nucleotides) under Symphurus plagiusa (blackcheek tonguefish). Its description in RNAcentral is "tRNA-Cys". Lineage: Eukaryota; Metazoa; Chordata; Actinopteri; Pleuronectiformes; Cynoglossidae. RNAcentral also lists the same sequence under 1 other name. The record is from RNAcentral.
AGCUCCGGGGUGUUACACGUCAGAUUGCAAAUCUGAAGAGGCAGAAUAAUCUUCUGCCGGGGCUU